UACGUAGGGUGCGAGCGUUAAUCGGAAUUACUGGGCGUAAAGCGAGCGCAGACGGUUAUUUAAGCAGGAUGUGAAAUCCCCGGGCUCAACCUGGGAACUGCGUUCUGAACUGGAUAGCUAGAGUGUGUCAGAGGGGGGUGGAAUUCCGCGUGUAGCAGUGAAAUGCGUAGAGAUGUGGAGGAAUACCGAUGGCGAAGGCAGCCCCCUGGGAUAACACUGACGUUCAUGCUCGAAAGCGUGGGUAGCAAAC
This 250-nucleotide ribosomal RNA is filed under the name uncultured Eikenella sp. Its description in RNAcentral is "partial 16S ribosomal RNA". It matches the Rfam family "Bacterial small subunit ribosomal RNA", at positions 524 to 773 of the family's 1533-position model. Lineage: Bacteria; Pseudomonadati; Pseudomonadota; Betaproteobacteria; Neisseriales; Neisseriaceae. The record is from RNAcentral.